This 253-nucleotide ribosomal RNA is filed under the name uncultured bacterium. RNAcentral describes it as "partial 16S ribosomal RNA". It matches the Rfam family "Bacterial small subunit ribosomal RNA", at positions 524 to 776 of the family's 1533-position model. The record is from RNAcentral.
UACAGAGGUCUCAAGCGUUGUUCGGAUUCAUUGGGCGUAAAGGGCGCGUAGGCUGCGGGGCAAGUCGGGUGUGAAAUCUCAGGGCUCAACUCUGAAACUGCACUCGAUACUGCUUUGCUCGAGGACUGGAGAGGAGAUUGGAAUUCACGGUGUAGCAGUGAAAUGCGUAGAUAUCGUAAGGAAGACCAGUGGCGAAGGCGGGUCUCUGGACAGUUCCUGACGCUGAGGCACGAAGGCCAGGGGAGCAAACGGG